RNAcentral lists this long non-coding RNA (4837 nucleotides) under Brassica napus (rape). RNAcentral describes it as "long non-coding RNA (BNAP_LNC001245)". The record is from RNAcentral. Lineage: Eukaryota; Viridiplantae; Streptophyta; Magnoliopsida; Brassicales; Brassicaceae.
CGCGCUCAGGGUCUAGUUAACAUUAUAGCCAAAAAUUAAAAUGUGAAUUCUUCGACCAAGUAUUAUAAAUACAUAUAACAAAGAGGAGCAUAUGGCUAAUUAUAGAUCUCAUAAGGUCCAAAACUGAACCAACAUAUAUAUAUAUAUAAAAUAUAAGCAUCAUUCUCUUUUUAUCACUGUUGGGGCAGAACCACCGGUCUCCGGCGGCGGCUGAUGAGCUGACAUCUGCCCACCGUGAAGAAACUCACGUGCAAUAGCUUGGAACUCGCCGCCUCCUCCGAUACUGGACGAUUGCGAGACACCGAAGAGAUGAUCCGACGGUCGAGGUUGUUGCUGCAUGGGCCACGUGGAUGACAUCGGCUCAAAGAUUGGGGAGAGGUCGUACAUCGACGGUGUUAUUGUGGGCAGGUCUGAUAUGGAAAGAGGCGGCAGAGAUCCAGAAGACGUCACCGUGGCCGGCGGUGGCUGUGGCAGCUCUAGAGUUGCUAAAUGUGCUUGUACAUAUGAAAGCUCAUUUUGCAAACUCACCACCUGUUUUUUUUUAGACAAAAUCCAUGCAAAUGCUUAAAAAUUAAUACCAAGAAAAUAUUAAAGAGAUGUAAUAAUCUAAAUAUUGAUACUUUCAGCAAUAAAUGAUUACAUGAGUUUCCCAAUUCUCGAGCAAAUGUUGAUUCACUUAUGCCCAAAACACACGACAUGACUAAUUGCUUGCUUGUAACAUUUAAAAUACCCUUCACUAAUAUCAGUUUAUUGGAUGCAAUUGCACAAAUAUUCGAGUAUGUAACAAGCAUACUUUAUUUGAUCAAAGCAAUUGAUAUAUUUAUAUAUUGAAAAGACGCUUAGAAAUAAGCGUACAACUACGUGUUUUUGCGAACAGAGAAAGACAUCUCUUCUCAAUCAGUGGCUUGGAUUAACUUAGAAAACAUCUUUGUAAACAUUUAUUUAUAAAAAGUAAUACAACGUAUGCUCAAUGUGCUAAUUAAAUUAAAUUCAGAGAGAGAGAGGCCUUCAACUGUUCUGUAACGCAUUAGAUCAUGUCAUACAAGUAAGUAUGCAUACACUUUAUUACUAAACUAGUUGAUGGCGGACUAAUAUAUCCCAAUCAAUUGUAACUUUAACAUACUUUUUUAUUUUAAUCUAAAUUAAUUUAUUAGUUUCAAGUAUUAAAUUUAAUAUCUAAUCUAUAUAAUGUAAUUUUUUUUAUUACAACACAACUUAAUAAUGGCUUGGUAAUUAACUUGCAAAAUCUUUUAUCUAUUUUAUUAUCAAACCACAAAUGUAAAAAGCAUUAUCAUUGUAACAACAUAAUAAAGUUUUAUGAACACUUUAAAAUAACAUAAGAGAUAUAUCUACAAAAUAAACUAUAAUUACAAAUAAAGCGUAUGAAAGCAAACUCCUCUUCAUCAAAUAAUAUUAUAGAUGAUUGAACAUUUUUCCUUUUUCGAUGAUUCCUACUAACAUUAGUUUAAUUACAUUUUAUCGGAAUUUCUGUUUCAUCCGAGUUUAUAGUAGCACUUAUUAAAAAAAUAUACAAUAACUAAAAAAAUCUUUCUAUUCAACUAAAACCUAAUAAACUAAUGGUAAUAAAUUAUAUAUGUUUAGUAAAAGCUAGAUUUUUAAUUAUAACGAUAAGAUAUUAUAUUCUUUGGAGUCAUAGUUUUUUAUUGGUAAUCUGAUAUUAACGAAACUCAUAACACUACUCUUCCGUGACAUAAACUAAAAAUAUGUCAAAUAAGCAUAAUUAAUAAAAACAUGACCAAUGAAAACACAAGACGAUUAAUUAUGCUUAUUUGACAUAUUUUUAUUUUAUGUCACAGAAGAGUAGUGUUAUGAGAUUAGUUAACAUCAAGUUAACAAUCAAAAGCUAUGAAUCCAAACAAUCUAAUAUCUUGUCGUUAUAAUUAAAAAUCCAGCUUUUACGAGACAUAUAUAAUUUAUUAUUUCUAGUUUAAAAGGUUUUAGUUAAAUAGAAGUAUUUUUAAUUAUUGUAUAUUUUAUUAACAGAUAUCACUAUAAACUCGGAUGAAGAGGAAAUUUAAAUAAAAUGAAAUUAAACUAAUGUUCGUAGGAAUCAUCGAAAAAGGAAAAAUGUUCAAUCAUCUAUAAUAUUAUUUGAUGAAGAUUAUGAUUAAGGCUAGGAAUGCAAUUAUAAAUUAAUUAUUUUUAUUUUUCUCUGUAGAUUAUCAUGCUGAUAAUCGUAAGUCCUUAUUACUAAAACAAAAAAAAAGGACCACGAAUGAGAACAAAUCGCAGCUAAAACACAAGACGAUUUUUUUCGUCAAUGCUUAAGAGAGAGUACUUUGCAUGAGCUUGGGUAAAUGGGUAGAAACGAAAGCAAAGGAAGAGAGAAAUAUCAACAAUUUUCUUUUGUUAUAAAAAAAAGAAAAGGAAACUGGUAAGAUAACUGAUGAAUGUCACGACCUACAGACAGUAUAUUGACUUAAAAUUCUUGCGAUUUCCCAUCAUACUAUAUGAUAGUAAUAAGUUAUAGUAUUAAUAGAAUAAUUGUUUAUUUAAUAGUAUUAAUGGAAAAAUUAAAUUACCUGUUGCUGAAGAGAGACGAUGUGGGAGACGCAGCCGUAGAUAGGGUCUCGGAGACGAGACUGAGCCUCGAAACAGAUUGAAACGACAGCGUCUGCCCGUUUAUGCUCGGGAAUAUGGUGGAGGAGUUUUGAAACGUUGCUCGCUCCGAACACCUUAUGAACCGCCGCGAAGUGCGCCGCUCCUUGAUCGGAGUCGAAAUAGGGUGCGAAUAUGCAGCCGGGAACGCACUUCCGUCUCAAGAACUUACAGGCGCCACACGGUCCACCUCCACCGCUGCUGCUAGGGCUUCCGCUACUGCUCAUCUUCCUGAUUAGGGUUUUGAGAGAUAUAUAUGGAGCUAAUUCAACCAGGUUAGGUUGAUUAGCAGGAAAAAUUGGGAACGUUUGGGAGAGAAAGAGAGGAGUCGGACGUAAACAAAACUAGGGCUUGGUUGGUGCUUAUUGGAAACUUUUUAUUUCCCCCAAUAAUACAUUAAUUAAUUGUAGUAUCUAAUAGUAUUUAAUAAAUAAAUAAGCAUAAUAAAUUAAUUUUUUUUUUAACACUGUAUAUAUUAUGCUAUUACAAACUCGGAAAAAUAUUACAGACGGUUUUACUGCCGACAAUUCUACCUGCUUUAUGAAGAUUCACGUCUGACUGCAUCAUCUAAGCCGUCCUAUCGGAUCCACCUUUGACGGUACUUCUUGCAUCAUGCUGCAAAUCUCUUGUAAGUUGUUUUCGCAUAAUUCUGCUUUUUCCAGGAAUCGAAACCCAGACCUGCUGGUGUAAAAGCAUUAAUGAACCCUUGGUCAAACCACUGGACAACGGGGUUUCCAAAAUAAAUUAACUUGUAGGAACCCGAAUUGAGGUGAUGUCAAAAUGACAAACUUAGAUAAAAUAAUAAGAUAAUAACUUUUUGAAAAAAAAUUAUGUAAAUAUAUGGUCCCAAUGUAAACAUAAAUUAAUAUAAACUUUUUAUAAAUAUAAAAAUAUAUUGUAUAGUUUGUAUAUGUAAAAUUUAAUUAAUAUAUAUACAGUAAAAUCAAAUAUUUUUCUUAUUUUCACAUACAAAUAUAGAAGAGAAUUUUUUUGUAAAUUAAUAAAUAAUUAAAGAUCCAACACUACUAAUUUAUAGAAUUGUUACUGUACUACUAGUAGUUAAGAAAACAAAUGCUGUCAAAAGUAUAAAUCAUUUAUACUUUUCUUUUAAAAUAUCAUUUAAUUAGUUGUAUUAUUACCAAAAAAAACUAAGACGGUUAAGACAAGAUGAAAAAAAAAAAUUUCUUUUAAGCCACGCGAUCAAUCGUACUUGUCUCGUAUUAAGCUCUUUGCGUGAAGCAAAACAUUCCAUAUCUCUUAACUUCUUCAUUGCCAUUCCCUUCCUUUUUCUUCUACUUCUGGUUUAAAUUUAUUUUUGUUACAAUCAGUCCACACAGAUGAAUCUUUACUUAUAUAGAAAUGUAUUGAUGCAGGCUCAUUCUAAUAAAAUUAGACUUUAGAUUUACAAAGUAACAGUUAUUUAAAAAUGACCUUACAACUAAUCAUAAUAUUAAUUUUUUUAAAAAAUAAUCAAUUAAAAUUGUUAUUAUCAUUGAAUAUCAUUAUUUUUGACAUAAUUUGAGUUUUCGUUUACAUCAAAACUUAUCAUAUUUUAGGAUAAUUUUAAUUUAAAAUGUAAUUUUCAUAUUUUUUAAAAAAAUUCUAAAAUAUUUUUUAAAUAUUUUGUUAUAAUUGUUAAAAAAAUAUUGAGUUGUAUUUCAAAUAAAAAGGUAAAGAUAUUAAAAAUAUUCUAAUUAAAAUAUGUAAAAUUUAAUAUAGUUUUAAGGAAAUGGUCAAAAUAAAAAAAAUUACACAUAAAAUAAUCAUGAUUUUUGUUAACUGGGCGGAUCAUUAUUUAUAUGAUAUCGCACACGAAAGAAAAUUUUUUAUUUUUAAAAUUAUCUAAUUAACUCUAUACUCAUUUUUUUUUUUAUAUGAUAUCACACAUUCGUAAAAAAUAAAUAGUUUAAGAUGCAAAAAACAAAUAUUUACUUAAUGAAUAUAAUAUGAACAAAUAUUACAAUUACAUCAUUUAAUAAAAUAAAUAAUUAAAAACUGAAAAUUCAUAUCCGCGCUCAGGGUCUAGUUAACAUUAUAGCCAAAAAUUAAAAUGUGAAUUCUUCGACCAAGUAUUAUAAAUACAUAUAACAAAGAGGAGCAUAUGGCUAAUUAUAGAUCUCAUAAGGUCCAAAACUGAACCAACAUAUAUAUAUAUAUAAAAUAUAAGCAUCAUUCUCUUUUUAUCACUGUUGGGGCAGAACCACCGGUCUCCGGCGGC